This 281-nucleotide ribosomal RNA is filed under the name uncultured Staphylococcus sp. RNAcentral's name for it is "partial 16S ribosomal RNA". It matches the Rfam family "Bacterial small subunit ribosomal RNA", at positions 81 to 354 of the family's 1533-position model. Lineage: Bacteria; Bacillati; Bacillota; Bacilli; Caryophanales; Staphylococcaceae. The record is from RNAcentral.
CUCCUUUGACGUUAGCGGCGGACGGGUGAGUAACGCGUGGGUAACCUACCUAUAAGACUGGGAUAACUUCGGGAAACCGGAGCUAAUACCGGAUAAUAUUUCGAACCGCAUGGUUCGAUAGUGAAAGGUGGUUUUGCUAUCACUUAUAGAUGGACCCGCGCCGUAUUAGCUAGUUGGUAAGGUAACGGCUUACCAAGGCGACGAUACGUAGCCGACCUGAGAGGGUGAUCGGCCACACUGGAACUGAGACACGGUCCAGACUCCUACGGGAGGCAGCAGGC